CUGAGACACACCUGAGAGAGCAGCUGAGGCCAGCCUUUGUUUGGUGUUUAAUUUGGACAAACAAUUGUAGUGAUUUCUUAAGCACAUCAGCCAAUAAAUAAGAUUCCAGUCACCUGCACGUCUCCGGAUAGGAAAAAUUGAAUAUUCUAGGCUCGAAAG
Perca fluviatilis (European perch) is the source of this 159-nucleotide long non-coding RNA. RefSeq lists it as uncharacterized. The transcript is spliced from 3 exons. The record is from RefSeq and is a predicted model, not a curated record. NCBI's taxonomy places the organism in Eukaryota, Metazoa, Chordata, Actinopteri, Perciformes, Percidae.